Molecule: transfer RNA, 84 nt
Filed under: Fasciola gigantica
Lineage: Eukaryota; Metazoa; Platyhelminthes; Trematoda; Plagiorchiida; Fasciolidae
Rfam family: tRNA
About the family: Transfer RNA (tRNA) molecules are approximately 80 nucleotides in length. Their secondary structure includes four short double-helical elements and three loops (D, anti-codon, and T loops).
Source: Rfam by way of RNAcentral
GACCUCGUAGCUCAGCUGGUGGAGCACUCGCAGUACUAAAGCGAAGGUGGUGACCAUGCGUGGGUUCGAAUCCCGCCGAGGCCA